Molecule: transfer RNA, 81 nt
Filed under: compost metagenome
Description: tRNA-Arg
Source: RNAcentral
GCGCUUGUCGGCGAGGCCCUUCAGGCGCGCGUGCUCCUGGCGGGCGAGCUCCUCGCGGGCGCGGAUCUCGGCGAGCGCGCC